AGUGGUGGCUCAGUGGUUAAGGCCUUGGCCUACUGCUCUGAAGGUCAUGAGUUCAAAUCCCAGCACCACCA
Non-coding RNA from Pangasianodon gigas (Mekong giant catfish), 71 nucleotides. Lineage: Eukaryota; Metazoa; Chordata; Actinopteri; Siluriformes; Pangasiidae. The record is from the annotation of a GenBank genome assembly.